CAUCAUACUGAAGGUAUUCUAUUUUGCUAGAGGAUAUUUUGUCUAUGUUUAGAUAAUGUCGGGCUUACAUGUUUUUGUUGCUUAUUAAUUUCCAUGCGGCCCAUUGGUCUCAUUUGAUUUUUGUCGCUUUUUAGUUUCUAUGCAGCCCAUGACUGGUACGCCUAUGAGCGUUAUGUUGAUGAGGGCAUGGGUGUGGAUGUUUCUGGUACAGUUUUGUCAGUCCAACAGUAUCGACUUAAAAAUGAAGUGCUGGUUAAAGUAUCAUCCAGGAUCUCUCGCCAGAAUAAGUCCUAUGAACUGAUUGGGGAGGCAAUUAGGGCAACCUCCACUUAUUGGUUCGCUACUGAUGCAACACGGUUGUUUAUCUCUUCUCUGAUACACAGAGCGCAGGGAAUUCUGGAUCAAGAUAAGUGCUUAGACAACUUUGAUGCUAAUAAUGUCGUCGUGACAAAUAAAGGAGAGGCCAAGUUCUGACAUGUGAAAAUCAUUGAAAAGACUUAUCAAGCUCGAAGACAAAUGUAUACUUGCAUUGUUAAUGUCAUCAGAGGUUAUUUUGAUGGGUAUCAAAUUCCUGAAGAUAUGCAGGAUUUGAUUAAUUUGAUGAGUACACAACAAAAAGAUCUUCUCUACCAAAUAAGCCCAGCACUCUUACUUCGCCAUCAAAGAUCAGAUCGAUAUACUCGACUCUAUGAGUAUGUCAAAUACAAAGUGGGCACUUUUCAGAAGGAGCUCAUACUCGAGAAGUUGCUUCAAUUGCCAUGGGUGCUCCAAUGGAAGAGCAAGGUGCCGCAGAACAAUGUACUUAAGGAAACUUUUGACUUCAUUCCGGGUAGCUAUGACCUGAAGCGCCCGACGGAUGAGCAUAAUAAUCCAACAACUCCGUGGACUGAACGCGAACAGAAGCUUAAGCUGGUGGAGUUAUUGCUUGAUUUUGUGAGAAAUGGAACUGCACACCGAUCCCAAAGGAAAACCAAAGUCGAUCCAGAUCAGUUUGAAACCAUCAUUAUGGUUUUUUACCUCAUGCUACUUCCCAAGUUGCAAGAAGCUGUUUAUGAUGUGGCAGGAAAGCCUGCUCUUGUAUAUUUGGGAUUGGCCUAGCCUUAAGGUAUGUAUCUGAACUAAAAUAUAAGCAUUGAAGUUAAGAAAUUCUAAUGCUUGCCAUUCUUAAUGAAUGAGUGUUAAGGACUAACACAUCUGUCACUGUAUAACAGCAAUUCUUGUAUUAAUGAAAUGAUGUCUUUUCAAUACAAUAUUUAUACCUUUACCAGUUUACCUAGAGAGUGUAAUCUGGAAUAUACUUGUUCUUUCUGAAGUCCUGUAAAUAAUAUAUGUAUAGUUAGAGGCAUACGGUUUGGCAUUACAAUUGAUCUGAGAUCUGUAGUUAUUCAGUGUAUUUGGUACUCACCUGUGACGGUGAUGAAGUUAACUAGUAAGGUAACUAAGCAUCAUUAUGCAGCGGUCUGUUUGUAUGCGGAAUCACGUUUGUAAAAUUAGUCCUACACAAACAGAUGCACUAGACCCUGCAUGCAGAUUUCACUGAAAACUGUGUAGCAACUACUAUCCGGUCCUGGGUUUGGCACAACAUUUUGUCCAUAGAUUUAGAAGUCUCUACUUGCCACCAUGCCAGAAUGAAGUAUGCAAUUGGUAAGCUAUCACUGAGUUGUGACCGUCAUGAUCAAGUAGGCCUUCCCUUCAGUCAACCUAUUCAAACACAGUAUUGCUUAUUUUUGAAUUAAAUUGCCUUUCACCUGGAGCCAAUCUAGUUAUCUUGUUGAGCUCUUGAAGCUAUUGCUUUUGGUUCAGCUCUUGAAGGUUAAAUAUAGACCUUAAGGAUGUUUCUAACUCAAGAAUUGUCUCAAGGAAAAUGUCUUUGAACCUACAUAUCGUUUUCAUUUGUACACAACCUGAAAAUGCUCUUUGAAGUCUUUGUAAAAUAUUUAUUUCAGUGCCAUCAAACCUGGUCUUCUGCAAUUCAUGAAUGCAAGAAUCCGAAACUUGAGAUUCAAAAGAGAAAAUAAGAACAUUUAGGACAAUGAAGUAUUUGUUUGAAGUAUCUUGAUCUGGCCAAAAGAAGUAGAGUAGUGGAAGUUGGCAACUUUGUGAUAGCAAUAUGGACUUUGAUAUUUCCAGUGAGCUCACCUCUUGGAUGUGGGUUCUCCUAAUACCAGGGGCAACAUAAGGAGUCUUGCUUUUAUUUUUCCACCUGGCAACAAACAAAAUAUUUGUCUCAAUGUGAGAAGAUACCUGAGUUCACUCUAGAUUUCUGCGCUUCUAGCUUCUGCAGUUAUUCUGGUCUGGAUGUCUUCUAUCUAAAAUGAUUUCUGAGCUUAAUCCAAUACUGUUGGAUUAUAGAAAGGCUGUUGGUACUGAUCAGUCAUAAUCAAUCAAGGGCCUUGUCUGGAAGCUUCGUGUUGGCUAAUGACAUACAGAAAACCUAAUCCGUUGUAAGAGAUACUGAAGUUUAAAAGCUGCAUUUUCUGGAUAUACAUGAAAGUAAUACAAAUGAUGUGUGGAAUCUGUUGUAGUGUCCUGAUUCCUGUAUAUGGCUUAAAACAUUUUCCUUUUUCUCGUCAAAGUCAUGGGGAGGCACGUGGAUUAGUAGAACUAGACUGCGCUCUGCUGCGGGAAAUGGUUGAUAUAAUUUUUGGUUGAUAACAUGAGAGCCAAAAUAAAUAAUACAUAUGACCUAUAAUAUUUGAUUAUGUAUAGUUGAGAAAAUAUUUUCCCAUGCAUGGUUGAAUGUUGUGGUGUUCUUUUCCCAUGCAUGAUUGCAUGUUGUGGUGGGGCUUAUUCCACUAAUAAUUGUAUGGUAUAGCGAGGUGGCGUGCUUGCAUGUUGAGAUAAGUAAGUUAGUGGGGAUGACUCUUAGGUAUAUAGGUUUUGUUUUGAGUGCAACUGCUGGUGUGCGGAGUUGGUUUCUGUUGAUGCAUGAAAUUUGUGAUUCUUAUUUCUCCAAUGCAACAAUGAACAUUUAUUAUUUAUUCAGUGGAUUUUGCCCAGAAUACAAAUUUACAACCUUUUCCUAUUCCUACAUGAUAAAUCUAAAACACCAUUUAGGCACAUAGGCGUGGGGCGAGGUAUUGAUACUAAGCAGUAAAUUGCGCCUGCAUUUGCUCAGAUUCGUAAAUAGGAUGCAAUGAAAUAUCUUCAUGCUACAUAAUUUUCAAAUGCAUGGGGUUUCUGAUGUGAAAAAUUUGCAUAUUUCUAUGUUUCAGAGGCUACCAUUUACAGUCGGUUCAUGUUGCUACAGUUUAUGUCCCUAUGGUGCUUCACGAAUCACGACUAUUUUCUGCCGGUGAUAUUCUUGAUCCUUCAGGUGUGUCCCUUUCCCCCCCCUUGACUUGUCUUCAUUCUAGCACCAUUUCAUUUUUCUCCACAUCUAUAACAAGCUUAAUCAGGACUAUGAUUUAAUGACCAGUACUAUAAUGUUUUCUCCCCUUGUGUAUUCAGGGGCAUAAUGAUUUCCUUAUCCAUAAUCUAGGAUGCUUUUCUAACUCUGGGAACAACUCAGUGUGCCCUUGCUCUGGAUAUAGUUUGUGGCGCACUGAAGCCUCCUGUUUAAGAACUGACCCUCUUGCUUUUGUUCCAGGUCCUCGCUCUUGCUUACUACACUACAUCCUACUUCCCUGGAGGCUCUAGUGGAUUAAAAUUUUUCUCUUCAAUUCUCCUGUCUACAGUACCAGAUGUCAUGACCCCAUCGUUUUGCUAGUACCAUCUACAAAUGUUAGGCACAUACGUUGGGAAUGGACUGAAGAAGGUUUGUUGAGCUAUUUGGUAGCACAUUUGUGGGAAUAAAGUUACUGCUAGCGAUUUAUGCGGCCAAAGUUAUGGCUAAAGCGGCUGUUGCUUUUUGGGAUAUGGUACUAGGCACACCAGCUAAAAAAUAUAAGAAAAACCAAACAAUACCGAAACUUUGUUGUGGUGAAAAUGGUGAGUUGAAGUUUCUGUGAAGAAAUGGCUUCCAUGGUCUUGGCGGAGAAAGUAAAAUUGCAACUUCAAAAACUUCAUUUUUUUACAUGGAACUGAUUUCAUUCUUUUAGUGCAUAGAAGACCAUGGAAGUCAUUUCUUUGUGAAACUUUACACGUCAAUAUAACAUAGACCAUGUUUGUUAUAAAGUAGUUUCAGAACUGUUUGAUCUUUUCCACAUUUUCAAAUUAUAUAUUUUCAGUGUGGUGCCCCUAGACCAAGUUCCAUAGGGUAUUUUUUUCCUUUUUUUUUCCUUUUGUUUUGCAAGAAGUGGCUGUAGAUAUUUUGGGGAAAAGUCGAUUGUGCAGUUGUAGGGAUUGAGUGUGAACUUUGUCCUGUAUCACGGUAUCACCUAGCCUCGGAAGCAUGUGAUAUUUCCCCCUUCAUCUAAACUAGGUGUCAAGUUUGCGUAGCCGUGUAAUUUGUUUUUGUGACGAAGAGAGGUCUACUGAAUACGAAUAAUGUUGUUACAAUCAGUUCGAAGAAGCUCUAAAACAGAAGAACGGCCGACAAGGCGUACUGUCUCUAUAACUUUAAUGUAAGAUGUUUUUGCCGUUCUAAUUACAUUAAGGAGGUAUCACCGACAUUGUAACGUAAUCUGAUUACAGCGGGAUCAGUUGCCGUCAAAUCGUCUUUGUUUCACCACGGCUGUAAUCAGAUUACGCCCCAAAUCAGCUGUAUCGGG
Molecule: long non-coding RNA, 4652 nt
Filed under: Triticum aestivum (bread wheat)
Lineage: Eukaryota; Viridiplantae; Streptophyta; Magnoliopsida; Poales; Poaceae
Description: long non-coding RNA (TAES_LNC005025)
Source: RNAcentral